RNAcentral lists this transfer RNA (74 nucleotides) under Elaphrothrips spiniceps. Its description in RNAcentral is "tRNA-Ile". The record is from RNAcentral. Lineage: Eukaryota; Metazoa; Arthropoda; Insecta; Thysanoptera; Phlaeothripidae.
AAAUAAGUGCCUGAAAGUUUAAAAGGGUUAUCUUGAUGGGAUAAAUUAUAUUAAUUUAUAUUUAAUCUUAUUUA